RNAcentral lists this long non-coding RNA (2344 nucleotides) under Homo sapiens (human). RNAcentral describes it as "PREDICTED lncRNA (TCONS_00013866)". Lineage: Eukaryota; Metazoa; Chordata; Mammalia; Primates; Hominidae. The record is from RNAcentral.
UGCAAGAUGAAGAGGAGCUUUAUUGAGCAAUAGAACAGCUCAGAGGAAACUGGCAGGGGGCAGCUCCUUUCUGCAGCCAGGGUGUUCCCACAAGUGUUCAGCUCCUAGCGGAGAGGGUAGCUCCUCUCUGCAGCUGGUCAUCCAGUCAUCUGUGCAGCUCUCAGCAGAGAGGAGACCAUAGAGUGGGUGGCUCAUCUCUGCAGGCAGGUCAUCCCAUCGUCUCUGUAGCUCUCAACAGAGAGGAGGCCCUGAAGUGGGUAGCUACUCUGCAGCUGGUCAUCCUGACAUCCGCUCAGCUCUGGCUGAUCUUGGGGCUUUUAUGGGCCUCAGAGGGGAAGAAUUGCACGCUGAUUGGUCCAUGGGUGGCCAUAGGUGGGCCCGGAAAAGGCACCACAAGUUCCUGCUCUGCAGAACUGGCAGCCCAGCCCCCAGUUUUCAGACUCUCCUAGCCUGAAGAAACUGGGUUUCCCCAUGUUGCCCAGGCUGGUCUCAAACUCCUGGCCUCAGGUGAUCCGCCUACCUCGGCCUCCCAAAGUGCUGGAAUUACAGGCAUGAGCCACCGCACCCGGCCUGGAUUCUGCAUUUCUAACAGGCUUCUGGUCCAGGAACCACAGGACCUCGAAGAUGAGAGGAGGCCGUCACCACAAUGGAUUCCGGCCCUGGGGUCUGAUGGAGACAUUGGUCCGCCCUUCGUGGCUUUUCACCCAGAAGGAAGAUCCUCCCCUGCAGAACCUCUCCCCAGAACUAGGUCUUUGCAGGUGACGAGGUAAUCCCAGCCUCCCCUCCCCGCAGAUCAGCGUUUUUCGAAGUGACUUUCUCACCAGGCGGAGCAUUGAAAGUACCGAUCCCAGCGCACCCAGCCCUGCUGAAUCAGAAUCUCUGGGGGUGAGGCCCAGGAAUCGCCGUCUGAACAAGUCGCGGGCUGGAAACGGCUGCCCCAGAUUACAGGGCAGCUCCCUGCUUCGCUCUCGCUCCUCCGGCCCCGGGAACGUGCAGGGGGGCGGGAGGCAAGUCCCAUCAGCACUUUGAACUGGGGCUGCUUUUUAGUGACUCACCUCCCAGACUUCCUGCAACAGACAACUCUAAAUAGCUCGGUCCCACCCUCCAGCAGGGGAGACAUUCCGGUCGGGAAGGGCAGGAGGUUAGAAGGUGGGUGCCCCGCCAGGGCAGUCCAGGGAGACCCAAGGACAGGAGACGCUGGCUGCACAGCACAGGGGCGCACGAAUAGGACGUUUUGUUUACAGGCUUUUGUUAUUAAGGAAAUUGGUGUCAGUCAAGGUAAUUCUAGCUCAGAUGAGCAAUAAAUAUGCUCCCAGCUAAUCUUGUGGGGAUUUUAUUGGCACUCGGAGCAGAGGUUCCUUUACCUUGACUACUCCCUCCCCUCAAAGCAAAGUCCUGCUCCCCAGCGGCUUCCCCCUAAGCAUCGUGAGGCACUUGGGUCAGGCUUUUAAAAGUCCACUCUACGUGAACACAGAAGAGGUCCGGGCAAAGGUGAGGAGUGGCUUCCUGAUCCUACCUGGAGGCCGAGGAUGACCAAAUGACCUGAAAUAAAACCCUGGGUGACCUGGUUGGAUCAAGGCAUACGCAAGCUCCCCCGGGCCUGCUCCACACUCGGGGUGAUCACCUGGCCCGCGGGCGGCCCGGGCAAGGAGGAACGUCUCGAGAAGGCAGCCGGCUCGCCGGAGUCGGUUCCAGCGUGUUCGAGUUACAGCUGCGAGCCCUCAGGGACACCGGCGGCAAGUCCCGGCUUGCAGAGAGGGGAGCCAGUCCCGGGAGAGCGCGAGUCCCGGCGAGCCCGAGUGCGCGCCUUAUGCGCGCUCCCCGCGACGGCGCAGGGGGAGGGGAGGCCGCAGCAGCCACUCAGAGGAACGGUAGUGAAGCCUCCCAACAACUUUAACUGUCAAUCAGACUUAAUGGGGUAUUGAAAAAAUGGGGGAAAAAGGGGCCGCCCUCUCCGCGACGCGGCUGCCCGGGGAGCGAAUGAAUAGGGCCGCGCAGACCAAGGCGUCCGAUCCACGCGCGCUCCACACCCGGACCCUCUCCAAGUUGGAAAGGACAAAAAGAAGGCAAUAAAUGCUAAAAAGGGAGAGAAGGGGAGCUGGAUCGAGCGGCAACUCCCAGCCUCUGCUGGAACAGAGAGGGAGGGAGGGAGCCGGAGCGAGCGAGCGCGCGCGAGGGCGAGCGCUGCACGUAAAGAAACUGACACCCGGACCCCCCACUUCUCCUGCACGUUGCUGGCAAUCAGAUCGCGUUUAAGCAAUUUCCUGAGCCCAAGAAUAGCAAUGAGUCGGGAGACUUUCGCGGGCUGAAAUUGGGAGCUCCAAGCACUUUUUCCCCCCACUUU